This 421-nucleotide ribosomal RNA is filed under the name bacterium Ellin6539. RNAcentral's name for it is "bacterial SSU rRNA". It matches the Rfam family "Bacterial small subunit ribosomal RNA", at positions 35 to 452 of the family's 1533-position model. The record is from RNAcentral.
GCUAGCGGCAGGCUUAAUACAUGCAAGUCGUGGGGCAGCAUGGGUAGCAAUACSUGAUGGCGACCGGCAAACGGGUGCGGAACACGUACGCAACCUUCCUUUAAGUGAGGAAUAGCCCAGGGAAACUUGGAUUAAUACCUCRUAACAUUAUGGAGUGGCAUSRCUUUAUAAUUAUAGYUCAGGCGSUAAAAGAUGGGCGUGCGGCUGAUUAGGUAGUUGGCGGGGUAACGGCCCACCAAGCCUACGAUCAGUAACUGGUGUGAGAGCACGACCAGUCACACGGGCACUGAGACACGGGCCCGACUCCUACGGGAGGCAGCAGUAAGGAAUAUUGGUCAAUGGACGCAAGUCUGAACCAGCCAUGCCGCGUGGAGGAUGAAGGCCCUCUGGGUUGUAAACUUCUUUUAUUUGGGAAGAAACC